RNAcentral lists this unclassified non-coding RNA (232 nucleotides) under plant metagenome. RNAcentral's name for it is "partial contains small subunit ribosomal RNA, internal transcribed spacer 1, and 5.8S ribosomal RNA". The stretch from base 1 to 53 matches the Rfam family "Eukaryotic small subunit ribosomal RNA", at positions 1778 to 1831 of the family's 1831-position model. The record is from RNAcentral.
GGAAGUAAAGUCGUAACAAGGUUUCCGUAGGUCAACCUGCGGAAGGAUCAUUCAUAAUAAAGUGUUUUAUGGCACUUUUUAAAAAUCCAUAUCCACCUUGUGUGCAAUGUUAGAUCUCGUCAAUCUUGGCGAGAUUUUUAUACAUCAACUCAUUCUUUAACUAAUUUGUCUGAAAAAUAUUAUGAAUACUUAAUUCAAAAUACAACUUUCAACAACGGAUCUCUUGGCUCUC